This 465-nucleotide ribosomal RNA is filed under the name Vreelandella stevensii. RNAcentral's name for it is "partial 16S ribosomal RNA". It matches the Rfam family "Bacterial small subunit ribosomal RNA", at positions 338 to 795 of the family's 1533-position model. Lineage: Bacteria; Pseudomonadati; Pseudomonadota; Gammaproteobacteria; Oceanospirillales; Halomonadaceae. The record is from RNAcentral.
CCUACGGGAGGCUGCAGUGGGGAAUAUUGGACAAUGGGGGCAACCCUGAUCCAGCCAUGCCGCGUGUGUGAAGAAGGCCCUCGGAUUGUAAAGCACUUUCAGUGAGGAAGAACGCCUGGUGGUUAAUACCCAUCAGGAAAGACAUCACUCACAGAAGAAGCACCGGCUAACUCCGUGCCAGCAGCCGAGGUAAUACGGAGGGUGCGAGCGUUAAUCGGAAUUACUGGGCGUAAAGCGCGCGUAGGUGGCUUGAUAAGCCGGUUGUGAAAGCCCCGGGCUCAACCUGGGAACGGCAUCCGGAACUGUCAAGCUAGAGUGCAGGAGAGGAAGGUAGAAUUCCCGGUGUAGCGGUGAAAUGCGUAGAGAUCGGGAGGAAUACCAGUGGCGAAGGCGGCCUUCUGGACUGACACUGACACUGAGGUGCGAAAGCGUGGGUAGCAAACAGGAUUAGAUACCCCUGUAGUC